GCAGUUGGUAUCGAGUGUUGUUGUCGCGCCGAUCGUGUCGUACCCCACAUCAGCGAACACAGCGGGGCCACAACAACUGGCACACAGGAGGGCACAGAGACCAGACAGGGCAGACUCCUCCUAUACGGACACACGCAGCGCGCACAGUGUUCGGGGGCCAUCGAAGCCAGCAGAACCGCAGGGCCCUGUCCGCAGCCCGAAACAGACCCCCCCUCGCAGCCUACAUAUAGCGGAAGAUAAACAAGAAAAAGGAGAAGGAGGAGAAGAAGAACAGAAAGAAGCAACACAGAGAGAGUGAGAGAGAAAGAGAGACAGUGUGCAGUAGUGUGAACGUGCGCCAUCGAAAAUAGAAUAGUUGAAGAGAGUUGAAGCUGUGAAGUCGAAGUCGCCGAACUUCCAAUUAUGGCCGAAACGUACGAAGAGUUCGAGGAGACGCACCAUGUCACCAGAAAGUCCGUUACCACCUUCAAGAUCGAGGAAACCUCUUCGUCGACCACGACCAAAACGAUCACCACACCGGCGAAGCUGUACGGGAAGGAUGUUGGCGCCUACGACGACAUCGACGUGGACGAGCUGCUCGCUCAGUUGUCGCCGGAGGAGAUCACCAUGCUCGCCAAAGAGGUGGAUCCAGAUGACUCAUUUUUGCCACCAAGUCAACGCACCAACUACGAAUGCGAGAAGGCUCCGACCGGGCCGCUUGAUCGGAAGAAGCUGAUCGAUCACAUCAACAAGCAAGCGCUAGAAACGCCCGAUCGCCCCGAACUUGAGCCUUUCGUGCCGGGUGUCGUCCGCGGCAAGAAAUGGAUACCGCCACCACCGGCCGCGAAGCUGCAGGCUGCGGAUGAGCAGAUUGCGAUCGAUCUGGGCGACGAGUACGAGCAGGCACUGACGGACGCAACCCAGGAGGAGAUCAUCGAUCUGGCCGCCAUCCUCGGGUUCCACUCGAUGAUGAACCAGGACCAGUACCACGCCUCGCUUCUGAACAAGGGCCAACCGGUCGGGCUGGGCUGGGACGGCAUCACGAAGUCGGCGAUACCGAAGAUCUUCCCGGCCGAGGCUCCCAAUACGACCGAUCCUGAGGAUACGAUUCAGCGCGUCAAAAACGACGAUGACAAGCUGGUGGAGGUGAACUUGAACAACAUCAAGACCAUCUCCGAUGAGCAGUUCGAUAAGCUGUUCGACGCGCUCAGGACGAACACACACCUGGAGGUGCUGUCGCUGACCAAUGUCGGCCUCACCGAUCGUACCGCACUUGUACUGGCCACGGCCCUCGAGCAGAAUCACGGGUUGCGUGUGCUGAACGUCGAAACGAACUUUAUCAGCCCGCCCGUCAUCGUGGUGCUGAUCAAGAGCCUGCUGACGCAGAUGACAAUCGAAGAGUUCCGUGCCUCGAAUCAGCGAUCGCAAGUGUUUGGCAACAAAAUCGAGAUGGAGAUAACGGAACUGGUCGAAAAGAACACCACCCUGCUGCGGCUGGGUUUGCAUUUGGAGUUUAAUGAUGCCCGGCAUCGGGUCGCGGCACAUCUGCAGCGCAACAUCGAUAGAAUUCGGGUCGAUAAGCGGGACGGUCGGUCGUCGCGCGGCAGCUACUAUCGGCCGGUGCGCGUCGAGGAGGAUCUCGUUGCCGAAAUGUCCGACGUCGAGGAAGAGCCAGAUGAGGUGGAGGUGCCGGUAGAAGACUACGACGUCGAGGAGGAUCCCGACAAUGUCGUCAUCCGCCCGCCACCAUCGGACGAUGAGGAUAUGUAAAUGUUUUGUUCCCUCCCUAAAAGGCUAAAAGAUAAUAAUACGCCACAACAACUAAAAACAAGCGUAAUUGUGCACAAACACACACACACACAUAGGCAGAUAGGCCAUACAAAAGAGAAGCUCUCCCCCUGCCAGACCUCAUUUUUCAAGCAAUGCCGAACAACUUGUGAAAAUUGUCAUCUGAAAAUAGAAGUAUGCUAAGCUGGGCGCAUCGAUCACUUCAUCGUAACGGCGUGUCUAAAGUUGUUUUCUUUACUACUCCUACUACCACGGUACUCUUCCAAAACGCUCACUUCUAGUUUGCUAAUGCUUUAUUUCCGUCUUCACAUUAUCCGCAACUCAAUCGUCUGUACUCUAUCUACUCAUCUCACGAUAGCAUGUGAAUCGUUAAAAUCUCUUGUGGAUGUAUUGAAGUUACAUUUUUCAAACAGGCUACGAUUCCAGAGCGUCGUAGACAUUGUUAAUUAGGUAAAUUUUUCGAGUUGCGAUUGCCAUAGUGUGCGGAGUAAAUCUAUUAUUUCGUAUUUAAUAUUGUCCUUCGUGUAUGUAUUAGAAUCCGAGUUUUCCCUUUUUCAUGAGUUUAUUGUUAUAAGCCUUGUAAUAUAAAUGAAAAGCGAGUAAUGCAGAUGUAGUGUACGUAGCUACCUUCUAGUCUUUGUGAUGGAAGGACUCGUUCUUCACCGAUUCGACUACGUGGCUUUAGUUUAGUUUAGUCUAACCCAUGGCGAACGAACUACAAUUUUGCUAGCAGUGUCAUAGAUCGUCAAGGUACGAUACAACAGUGAGUCUUACUUUAUUUCUUAUCGCUUGUUUGCUUCUGUUACUAUUCUAAUGUGUGCUCAGCUUAGGCUUCCGCCUCCUCAACGCAGAAAAUGGCGUACCAUCACCAUCGUUGCGCUCCCUCGGAAUGGCCACGAUACUGUUUGCCCAUCUUCCGUGUUCUUCAUUUUCAUCUGUUUUUUUAGCGGAAGAAACACACAUAUACAGAUAGAAGAGAUAUUUCAAAACAAUUUAACAAAAAAACAUGGUCCGCCCAUCAACAGCCACCACGACGCCACCACCUCCAGUUGAUCUAACUUGAUCGCAUUCCCAUUUGCCUGCCUGUGGUUUGUAGGCCUACCGUGUUUUCCACAAUCUUUUUCCGAUUCAAAGACAGUAAACUCGAAGGCCUCAUUAUAACAUGGCUAAGAAUGUAAUCUAGACAUAAACAAAGUGUAUACAAAUCAAUUCAAACAAACACGAACACACCCACACACACAUUCACGCAUCUGAUUGGAAACAAAAUCUGAAACCGAACCGAAACAAACAAACAAAAAACAAUCAUUAUUGUAGCAGCAUAAAAAAGCGUGUUGAAGGCGAUAGGCGUCGUAGAGAGAGAGAGAGAGAAACAGAGGCGUACCUUUUUUCGAUUUGCUACAUCGUAUUAGACCGAUAAAGGGGCUGCACUGCCCAUAAGCGUUGUACACCUGUGUCUCAGAUUAUAAUAUGUGUAACAGAAAACAAACAUCUUACACAGGUUGCCAGUAGUGGAGCCUCUGUGCACUGCCUCGGCCUCUGUUGCUCUGGUGGAGGCUGACAAAUUCGUUGUGAGAUUCGAUGGUUAGCGCCGUUAUGGAUACCGUUUUUUUCUUCUUAAUUUUCACCUACACUCCGAACUCGCCUAUUGCUUGGCGUACGACAGCAGGGAAGUGUACGUUGCAAGGAAGUGGCAAAUGAUUAAUACUACGGUACGGCGCACACGCUCCUGAACAGUGAAUGGGAAUAUUUGGUGUGUAAUUUCACCGCGUUCUGCUGAUUAAAUCUUAAAUUGUAAGCGUACAUGCGUGAGUGUGUGGGUGUGUGAGGUGUACAGUUAUCUACUUCACCAUAGUAGCACUCACUUGAUUGUUCAUUACUUUCACUAUUUUCACAAUAUCUCUUACUUGAGCUCUCUCUCUCUCUCUUUAUCUCAUUUGUCUCAUCUCUAUCUAUGAUCAGUCAGUAUGAUCACAUUGAAGUAGUUUGUUCAUCAAAGGUGUAAUCGACACACCUUAGCAUUGCUAGUGUUAUAGGCUAAAGACGCCACCUCCCCCCUCCAACUACGAGGGAGGGAAGAGAAAUAGGAAAUAAACACAAUUAUUAUCGACUAUAAAACUA
RNA transcript from Anopheles bellator, 3885 nucleotides. It is a transcript of the gene named tropomodulin, with no coding region annotated. The record is from RefSeq and is a predicted model, not a curated record. Lineage: Eukaryota; Metazoa; Arthropoda; Insecta; Diptera; Culicidae. The transcript has 9 exons.